Molecule: ribosomal RNA, 487 nt
Filed under: uncultured bacterium
Lineage: Bacteria
Description: partial 16S ribosomal RNA
Rfam family: Bacterial small subunit ribosomal RNA
Source: RNAcentral
GAUAAACGCUGGCGGCGCACAUAAGACAUGCAAGUCGAACGGACUUAACUCAUUCUUUUAGAUUGAGAGCGGUUAGUGGCGGACUGGUGAGUAACACGUAAGCAACCUGCCUAUCGGAGGGGAAUGACAGUGAGAAAUCAUUGCUAAUACCGCAUAAGCUAGUAGCAUCGCAUGAUGUAGCUAGAAAAGGAGUAAUCCGCUGAUAGAUGGGCUUGCGUCUGAUUAGCUAGUUGGUGGGGCAACGGCCUACCAAGGCGACGAUCAGUAGCCGGACUGAGAGGUUGAACGGCCACAUUGGGACUGAGAUACAGCCCAGACUCCUACGGGAGGCAGCAGUCGGGAAUAUUGCGCAAUGGAGGAAACUCUGACGCAGUGACGCCGCGUAUAGGAAGAAGGUUUUCGGAUUGUAACCUAUUGUCGUGAGGGAAGAAAUUGACAGUACCUCAGGAGGAAGCUCCGGCUAACUAUGUGCCAGCCGCCGCCGUAA